RNAcentral lists this ribosomal RNA (253 nucleotides) under uncultured bacterium. RNAcentral's name for it is "partial 16S ribosomal RNA". It matches the Rfam family "Bacterial small subunit ribosomal RNA", at positions 524 to 776 of the family's 1533-position model. The record is from RNAcentral.
GACAGAGGGGGCAAGCGUUGCUCGGAAUUACUGGGCGUAAAGGGCGCGUAGGCGGGAUGGUAAGUCGGUCGUGAAAUCCCCCGGCUCAACCGAGGAACGUCGAUCGAUACUGCCGUUCUUGAGGAUUGCAGAGGAGACUGGAAUUCCCGGUGUAGCGGUGAAAUGUGUAGAGAUCGGGAGGAACACCGGUGGCGAAGGCGGGUCUCUGGGCAAUUCCUGACGCUGAGGCGCGAAAGCGUGGGGAGCAAACGGG